UGACUUUCCCCANACUUAGGAUGGCCUGU
This 29-nucleotide non-coding RNA is filed under the name Rattus norvegicus (Norway rat). The record is from RNAcentral. Lineage: Eukaryota; Metazoa; Chordata; Mammalia; Rodentia; Muridae.